RNAcentral lists this transfer RNA (71 nucleotides) under Rhizoclosmatium globosum. It matches the Rfam family "tRNA". Rfam says of the family: Transfer RNA (tRNA) molecules are approximately 80 nucleotides in length. Their secondary structure includes four short double-helical elements and three loops (D, anti-codon, and T loops). Lineage: Eukaryota; Fungi; Chytridiomycota; Chytridiomycetes; Chytridiales; Chytriomycetaceae. The record is from Rfam by way of RNAcentral.
UCCUAGAUCGUCUAGUGGUCAAGAUCCGGCCUUUCACGGCCGUGACCGGGGUUCAAUUCCCCGUCUGGGAG